RNAcentral lists this ribosomal RNA (468 nucleotides) under uncultured bacterium. Its description in RNAcentral is "partial 16S ribosomal RNA". It matches the Rfam family "Bacterial small subunit ribosomal RNA", at positions 28 to 507 of the family's 1533-position model. The record is from RNAcentral.
GACGAACGCUGGCGGCGUGCUUAACACAUGCAAGUCGAACGGACAGGCCCUGCUUUUGUGGGUUUCUCGAGUGGCGAACGGGUGAGUAACACGUGAGUAACCUGCCCUUGUCUUUGGGGUAACUUCUCGAAACUGGGGCUCAUACCGGAUAUGAGCUCCUGCUGCAUGGUGGUGGUUGGAAAGUUUCGGCGGUUCGGGCUGGUUUGGCGGGUUAUGCGCUUGUUGGUGUGGUAGUGACUUACGAAGGCUUAGACGGAUAGGCGGCCUGGGAGGGGUACCGGCGACAUGGGGACUGAGAGACGGCCCAGACGCGUACGGGAGGCAGCAGGGGGGAACAUGGCGCAAUGGGCGGAAGUCUGAUGCAGAAGUGCCGCGUGCGGGAUGACGGCCUUCGGGGUAUAAACAGAUUUCGAAUGUGACGAAGAGUGAGUGACGGUAAUGGGUAAAGAAGCACCGGCUAACUACGUG